CUCAUGGCAAAAGAACAUGUUUUUAUUCUGCUAUUCACAGUGCUUUUUCCUCUCAGCCAGGGACCCUGACCAGACCAUACGCCUUCCCCUAUGAACAGCCUGCGGCUCACAGCGACCUGUCAGCAGGUCUGAGGUGAGCCUCGCACAAAGGGCUUCUGCACAGAAAGGCCCAGGACUCACUGCGACUGACCCCUGAGUGAAAGAGAGAAUACAAGCCAAAAGGAGAGACUGGCAGGCAAACGGCUCACAAAACCUCUCCGCCAGCUACUUCCUCAGAUCCCAGCUGGACUGCAGCCCACAAGCAUGUACAGGCUGGUCUGAAGGUACAAAUCAAUCAAAAGUAUGCCUGCAGCACUUGAUGUCACCCAGGACCUCUCCAAAAAAGAUUCCUUAAUAUUCUUCUGGGAGACUGAGCUACUGAGUCCUAUUAACCUAAACAGAAAACAAAUACCAAUACACAGUAAGUCUGCAGCUGCUUCAAGACAAUGAUUUUGAUGACGAAGAAGACAAAAACUGUGGUAAAAACUGAAAAUGGUCAGUGAACAUCUGAAAAACAGUGUGGAAAACGUUGACCUUAAUGAAUGUUUGCUCCACUCAGUAAAAUUGUCCAAAUGAAAUACUGACAGCUUUAUUACCUAGUGCAUUGUAAUAAACUAAAAUUCAAUAUUCCGGUUCCACUACAGCUAUUAUUUUGGAGCG
Molecule: long non-coding RNA, 699 nt
Filed under: Gallus gallus (chicken)
Lineage: Eukaryota; Metazoa; Chordata; Aves; Galliformes; Phasianidae
Source: RNAcentral